CUAUGCCUAACGGGACGCAGCAGUAGGGAAUCUUCCACAAUGGGCGAAAGCCUGAUGGAGCAGCGCCGCGUGGGUGAAGAAGGUCUUCGGAUCGUAAAACCCUGUUGUUAGAGAAGAAAGUGCGUGAGAGUAACUGUUCACGUUUCGACGGUAUCUAACCAGAAAGCCACGGCUAACUACGUGCCAGCAGCCGCGGUAAUACGUAGGUGGCAAGCGUUAUCCGGAUUUAUUGGGCGUAAAGGCAACGCAGGCGGUCUUUUACGUCUGAUGUGACAGCCUUCGGCUUAACCGGAGUAGUGCAUUGG
Molecule: ribosomal RNA, 305 nt
Filed under: uncultured bacterium
Lineage: Bacteria
Description: bacterial SSU rRNA
Rfam family: Bacterial small subunit ribosomal RNA
Source: RNAcentral